Molecule: transfer RNA, 73 nt
Filed under: Portunus trituberculatus (swimming crab)
Lineage: Eukaryota; Metazoa; Arthropoda; Malacostraca; Decapoda; Portunidae
Description: tRNA-Ala
Rfam family: tRNA
About the family: Transfer RNA (tRNA) molecules are approximately 80 nucleotides in length.
Source: RNAcentral
GGCCCGGUAGCUCAGUGGUUAGAGCGCUGGCUUCGCAAGCCAGAUGACCGGGUUCGAUUCCCCGGCCGGGUGG